RNAcentral lists this ribosomal RNA (253 nucleotides) under uncultured bacterium. RNAcentral describes it as "partial 16S ribosomal RNA". It matches the Rfam family "Bacterial small subunit ribosomal RNA", at positions 524 to 776 of the family's 1533-position model. The record is from RNAcentral.
UACGGGGGGGGCAAGCGUUGUUCGGAAUUACUGGGCGUAAAGGGCUCGUAGGCGGCCAACUAAGUCAGACGUGAAAUCCCUCGGCUUAACCGGGGAACUGCGUCUGAUACUGGAUGGCUUGAGUUUGGGAGAGGGAUGCGGAAUUCCAGGUGUAGCGGUGAAAUGCGUAGAUAUUGGGAGGAACACCAGUGGCGAAGGCGGCUCACUGGACCGGUUCUGACGCUGAGGCGCGAAAGCGUGGGGAGCAAACGGG